CUGGAGGUAUCAGAAGUGCGAAUGCUGACAUAAGUAACGAUAAAGCGGGUGAAAAGCCCGCUCGCCGGAAGACCAAGGGUUCCUGUCCAACGUUAAUCGGGGCAGGGUGAGUCGACCCCUAAGGCGAGGCCGAAAGGCGUAGUCGAUGGGAAACGGGUUAAUAUUCCCGUACUUGGUGUUACUGCGAAGGGGGGACGGAGAAGGCUAUGUUGGCCGGGCGACGGUUGUCCCGGUUUAAGCGUGUAGGUGUGUGUUCCAGGUAAAUCCGGUUCACUUUAACACUGAGGCGUGAUGACGAGGCACUACGGUGCUGAAGCAACAAAUGCCCUGCUUCCAGGAAAAGCCUCUAAGCAUCAGGUAACAUCAAAUCGUACCCCAAACCGACACAGGUGGUCAGGUAGAGAAUACCAAGGCGCUUGAGAGAACUCGGGUGAAGGAACUAGGCAAAAUGGUGCCGUAACUUCGGGAGAAGGCACGCUGACACGUAGGUGAAGUGAUUUACUCAUGGAGCUGAAGUCAGUCGAAGAUACCAGCUGGCUGCAACUGUUUAUUAAAAACACAGCACUGUGCAAACACGAAAGUGGACGUAUACGGUGUGACGCCUGCCCGGUGCCGGAAGGUUAAUUGAUGGGGUCAGCGCAAGCGAAGCUCCUGAUCGAAGCCCCGGUAAACGGCGGCCGUAACUAUAACGGUCCUAAGGUAGCGAAAUUCCUUGUCGGGUAAGUUCCGACCUGCACGAAUGGCGUAAUGAUGGCCAGGCUGUCUCCACCCGAGACUCAGUGAAAUUGAACUCGCUGUGAAGAUGCAGUGUACCCGCGGCAAGACGGAAAGACCCCGUGAACCUUUACUAUAGCUUGACACUGAACAUUGAGCCUUGAUGUGUAGGAUAGGUGGGAGGCUUUGAAGUGUGGACGCCAGUCUGCAUGGAGCCGGCCUUGAAAUACCACCCUUUAAUGUUUGAUGUUCUAACGUGGACCCGUGAUCCGGGUUGCGGACAGUGUCUGGUGGGUAGUUUGACUGGGGCGGUCUCCUCCUAAAGAGUAACGGAGGAGCACGAAGGUUGGCUAAUCCUGGUCGGACAUCAGGAGGUUAGUGCAAUGGCAUAAGCCAGCUUGACUGCGAGCGUGACGGCGCGAGCAGGUGCGAAAGCAGGUCAUAGUGAUCCGGUGGUUCUGAAUGGAAGGGCCAUCGCUCAACGGAUAAAAGGUACUCCGGGGAUAACAGGCUGAUACCGCCCAAGAGUUCAUAUCGACGGCGGUGUUUGGCACCUCGAUGUCGGCUCAUCACAUCCUGGGGCUGAAGUAGGUCCCAAGGGUAUGGCUGUUCGCCAUUUAAAGUGGUACGCGAGCUGGGUUUAGAACGUCGUGAGACAGUUCGGUCCCUAUCUGCCGUGGGCGCUGGAGAACUGAGGGGGGCUGCUCCUAGUACGAGAGGACCGGAGUGGACGCAUCACUGGUGUUCGGGUUGUCAUGCCAAUGGCACUGCCCGGUAGCUAAAUGCGGAAGAGAUAAGUGCUGAAAGCA
RNAcentral lists this ribosomal RNA (1523 nucleotides) under Salmonella enterica. RNAcentral's name for it is "partial 23S ribosomal RNA". It matches the Rfam family "Bacterial large subunit ribosomal RNA", at positions 1273 to 2779 of the family's 2925-position model. Lineage: Bacteria; Pseudomonadati; Pseudomonadota; Gammaproteobacteria; Enterobacterales; Enterobacteriaceae. The record is from RNAcentral.